This 778-nucleotide ribosomal RNA is filed under the name Staphylococcus sp. X49-CRBM-E14. RNAcentral describes it as "bacterial SSU rRNA". It matches the Rfam family "Bacterial small subunit ribosomal RNA", at positions 56 to 817 of the family's 1533-position model. Lineage: Bacteria; Bacillati; Bacillota; Bacilli; Caryophanales; Staphylococcaceae. RNAcentral also lists the same sequence under 1 other name. The record is from RNAcentral.
UGCAGUCGAGCGAACGGAUAAGGAGCUUGCUCCUUUGAAGUUAGCGGCGGACGGGUGAGUAACACGUGGGUAACCUACCUAUAAGACUGGGAUAACUUCGGGAAACCGGAGCUAAUACCGGAUAACAUUUAGAACCGCAUGGUUCUAAAGUGAAAGAUGGUUUUGCUAUCACUUAUAGAUGGACCCGCGCCGUAUUAGCUAGUUGGUAAGGUAACGGCUUACCAAGGCGACGAUACGUAGCCGACCUGAGAGGGUGAUCGGCCACACUGGAACUGAGACACGGUCCAGACUCCUACGGGAGGCAGCAGUAGGGAAUCUUCCGCAAUGGGCGAAAGCCUGACGGAGCAACGCCGCGUGAGUGAUGAAGGGUUUCGGCUCGUAAAACUCUGUUAUUAGGGAAGAACAAAUGUGUAAGUAACUGUGCACAUCUUGACGGUACCUAAUCAGAAAGCCACGGCUAACUACGUGCCAGCAGCCGCGGUAAUACGUAGGUGGCAAGCGUUAUCCGGAAUUAUUGGGCGUAAAGCGCGCGUAGGCGGUUUCUUAAGUCUGAUGUGAAAGCCCACGGCUCAACCGUGGAGGGUCAUUGGAAACUGGGAAACUUGAGUGCAGAAGAGGAAAGUGGAAUUCCAUGUGUAGCGGUGAAAUGCGCAGAGAUAUGGAGGAACACCAGUGGCGAAGGCGACUUUCUGGUCUGUAACUGACGCUGAUGUGCGAAAGCGUGGGGAUCAAACAGGAUUAGAUACCCUGGUAGUCCACGCCGUACACGAUGAGUGCU